UGUGAAUACACGUCUUGUGACUGGUGCUUUAAGAGAGCCCUUUACAGCAGAAAAGACCGACAAGGGGGAAGAAACAGUAUAGAACACAUGCCAUACAAUACUGAAGCAGCAGGCCAGCUGUCAUGCUAUUGACUGUAAGCUUUUCACUGGAGAGGAGAAUGGAUCUUGCUGUACAGCCGGCGUAGAGGGGUAGCUGUGAAGAAUGAAUUCGGCACCAGCAGGCCCGAAGGAGCUGCAGACUUGAAUGCUCCAGAGGUGCACAGCACUGUGUUCUCGGGAGCCAGCUCCAAAUGCAGUCCAGAUGUUGCCAACAUCGAGCUGGAGGUUCUCAGGCGGCAGUGGAGCCACAACAGAGGGGGAAAUGGAUUUUUAAAAUUCCACAGGCCUUCUGUUCGGUUUCCAUGCUGCGGAUUUCAUUUCAUGAACGCCGAGCGUGGUAGGUGCCAAGGAGCACUGUGGCCCCCAGAGAGUCUAAAGUGACUGCUGUCUUAAAGGGCUCCAAGGGCUUGGUCUCUGUGGGAUCUCCAACAUUUCAAUCUAAACAUGAUUUUGUAGGAUUUUGCUAGCUAUUGUACGUUAUUUAAGAAUAUUAUUGUUUUUUUUGCCGUCUAGAAUCCAUAUCGGUUUGUCUUAUCACAGAAAUGACAAAAAAGUUAGAGUAGUUUGAUGUAGGCUGUUUAUUUAUGAGAACUGUGAGGUGACAUUUUUUGCUUCUUAAAAAAACUGAAUUCAAAGUGAACUGAAAUCUCCCUUUGUGCCAUAGUACUGUAAAUGCCACAUUAGUUUCGAUAUAUAUCAAGCUAUCUAAUAGUUAUGGUUGAAUUUUAGUCCUUUUUCAUUCCUGUGAGAUAUUAAAAUUCUGUACUUAAUGAUCCAAGAAUCCAACCAAGCUGAUUGGUUCCUAAGUUACCAUCUACCCAUAUCAAUUAUUUUGCCUUCAUGACUCUUCAAGGAGUUGUAUUAUAGGGUUGUUGCACCUGGAGUUGUUUUGUUUUUUUAUAAAUUCCUAGACUACCUUCCCUAAAGGAUUAUGUGAAAUGGCAGAUGAUCUUACUCUUUAGUAACCUGUCAUUCCACCUAGUAGGGGAGGCGUUGAAAGAGACUGCUGUCACGCCAACUGGAACUGAGGCAGGUCCUAACAGCUAGUCAAAGAAGGUGUUACAGCAAAAGGAUGUGAGGAGGGGGUGCUUCUUAAACCACAGGAAAUGUAAAGAUAAACUCUUCUGUUUAGAUUUUAGAAGCACUAAGGUACAAAUUACUUAGUAUGACUGUACGUUUACAAUCAAACAGGAUUUUUAAAACUUCAUAAAUGAUAUAUCCUCAAAAGUAGCUCUGUGCUGUAUUUUGCCCUCUAUACGUAAUUAGAAAUUAUAAAAUUUUCAAAAGAAUUCCAGCCUUGUUCUUCAAAUGGUGUGUAAUACAAAUGAUGGCAAUUUCUGUCUUUUUUCAGGAAUAAAUGUUCAACUGACCAUGACACAAA
RNAcentral lists this long non-coding RNA (1480 nucleotides) under Lepisosteus oculatus (spotted gar). RNAcentral's name for it is "lncRNA (ENSLOCG00000022975.1)". The record is from RNAcentral. Lineage: Eukaryota; Metazoa; Chordata; Actinopteri; Semionotiformes; Lepisosteidae.